GCCAAGAUGGCCGAGUGCUGGAGCCUUGGGUCCCAGGAGCGAAUAAGGAGGUUGUGGCUCAGGCAAAUCGUUCGGGUUAUUGGAUUCCUGCAAGUUGUUUGGGAACUGAUCAAGGUUUCAGGGUAAAGAUGCUGGUGAUUAACAGCCUGAGGGUCAUUCAUCCUGUGUCUCCAUGCAAAUUGCUGUGGAGAACCUUCCAGAUUCCAAGACCCAGGCCAUCCUGCAGCCUCUGUACUUGCACUUACAAAAUCCAGAAAUAAGCCUUGCAUCCACUCUGGGAGAGCGUGGACCUGGUUCCUGCGGGCGAUCCACAGUCACCCAUCAACAUCUGGUGGAGGGACAGUGUUUAUGAUCCUGGCUUAAAACCACUCAC
Saimiri boliviensis boliviensis (Bolivian squirrel monkey) is the source of this 373-nucleotide non-coding RNA. Lineage: Eukaryota; Metazoa; Chordata; Mammalia; Primates; Cebidae. The record is from RefSeq and is a predicted model, not a curated record.